AUACGGAGGGUCCGAGCGUUAUCCGGAAUCAUUGGGUUUAAAGGGUCCGUGGCGGGAAUCUAAGUCAGUGGUGAAAUCUUGCAGCUCAACUGUAAAAUUGCCAUUGAUACUGGAUUUCUUGAAUUAGUGUGAAGUGGUUAGAAUGUGUAGUGUAGCGGUGAAAUGCAUAGAUAUUACACAGAAUACCAAUUGCGAAGGCAGAUCACUAACACUAUAUUGACGCUAAGGGACGAAAGCGUGGGGAGCGAACAGGAUUAGAUACCCCGGUAGUCC
RNAcentral lists this ribosomal RNA (273 nucleotides) under uncultured bacterium. Its description in RNAcentral is "partial 16S ribosomal RNA". It matches the Rfam family "Bacterial small subunit ribosomal RNA", at positions 523 to 796 of the family's 1533-position model. The record is from RNAcentral.